UGGGGAAUAUUGGACAAUGGGGGCAACCCUGAUCCAGCGAUGCCGCGUGAGUGAUGAAGGCCCUAGGGUUGUAAAGCUCUUUUGUCAGGGAAGAUAAUGACGGUACCUGAAGAAUAAGAUCCGGCUAACUCCGUG
Molecule: ribosomal RNA, 135 nt
Filed under: uncultured Alphaproteobacteria bacterium
Lineage: Bacteria; Pseudomonadati; Pseudomonadota; Alphaproteobacteria
Description: partial 16S ribosomal RNA
Rfam family: Bacterial small subunit ribosomal RNA
Source: RNAcentral